RNAcentral lists this long non-coding RNA (1205 nucleotides) under Ananas comosus (pineapple). Its description in RNAcentral is "long non-coding RNA (ACOM_LNC014788)". Lineage: Eukaryota; Viridiplantae; Streptophyta; Magnoliopsida; Poales; Bromeliaceae. The record is from RNAcentral.
ACAGAAAUCGAAAUCAUGGCAGAAGGUACGAUCUAGUUUCUUAUAAAGUUUCUAACAUCCGCCUCUCCCUCCUGCGCCCUGCCGCUCGGCCUCCCAUUCUUCUUCUUCGCCGUCGUCUUCUUCUCCACAUCCAGCCCGACCCCGUUCGUCGUGGCCGCUACCGCCGCGGCGGCGGAAUCGGGCUGGGGGUCCGCGGCGGCGGGGGAGAGGAGGAGGGGGUCGCGGGCGAUGGAGAGGAGGGUGAGGAGGGAAGCGAUGGUGAAGAAGAAGGCGACGGUCCGCUUCUUUUUUUUUCAGCGAGAAAAAAAAAAGAACGACAGAAACGAAGAGGAGAGAGAAAGAGGAAAGAGAAAAAGUAAUAAGGGUAUUUUGGUCAGUUUACUGACAGAGCGGACUGAAUCUGCAAAAACGAAAAAGAUGACCCGAUUUUGCAAAAGCCCAAAAUAAGUGGAUUUUUUAUGCAAAAAGGCCAUAAUUUAAUAAAUAAAAAUAAUAUAAUUACUUUUUAUAUAAUUAUAAUUUAAUUUAAAAUAAUUAAAUUAUUUUUUUAUACAUAAAUUAUAGUAAUACAAUAAUAAAAUUAUAAAUAAAAAAUUUAUUAAUAUUUAAUUAAUAAUAAAGAAAUAUUAAAACUUAAAUAAUCAAUUUUUAUCAUAUUUUAAAUAUGCCUACUGAAUAGAAGAGUAAUUAGUAUAAUAAUUAAAUAUAUUUAAAUAUAACUAUCUUUACCUAAUAUAUUAUUUUAUUAUUUUUUUCUUCAUCUUUCUUUACCAUAAUUGACUUCGGCUCACGAUAGGCCGAAAGUCAAUUAUACCGUUUUAAGUUAACUCGAGUUUCGACCGUAACUUUUUUACGGCGAAUCAAACAGCGAAAGUAAUCAUUUAUAGCGAAAAUGAUUUCCCCUUUCUUCACUUCCACCCGACUUCCAUCCAAACAAAUAUGCCCUCAGCAUGUGACCUUUUUUCUUCCUUUCAUCAAACUUUCAAUUAAUGCAUUUAAACGGUCCCACUAUCAAACUUCUAAUUAAUUCAUCUAAAUGGCCUCACUAGCAUCUUCAAUUCUCAUCUCUUAUUUUUCAAUUAAUUUAACGCGAUCCUUUUCUUUUUUACUACCAGGCUUUUAAUUAAUACAUCCAAACGGUCUACCGCAGUUACAAUCCUCGACUCUUUGUUUUUAGUUUAUUUAUCAAUUUUUUUCUCUCUCAU